Molecule: ribosomal RNA, 460 nt
Filed under: uncultured bacterium
Lineage: Bacteria
Description: partial 16S ribosomal RNA
Rfam family: Bacterial small subunit ribosomal RNA
Source: RNAcentral
CCUACGGGAGGCAGCAGUGAGGAAUAUUGGUCAAUGGACGAGAGUCUGAACCAGCCAAGUAGCGUGAAGGAUGACUGCCCUAUGGGUUGUAAACUUCUUUUAUAAAGGAAUAAAGUGAGGCAAGUGUGCCUUUGGGGAGGUAAUUGAGGAAUAAGGAUAGGCGAACUCCGUGCCAGCAGGCGCGGUAAGAGGGAGGAUACGAGCGUUAUCCGGAUUUAUUGGGUUUAAAGGGAGCGUAGAUGGGUUGUUAAGUCAGUUGUGAAAGUUUGCGGCUCAACCGUAAAAUUGCAAUUGAUACUGGCAGUCUUGAGUACAGUGGAGGUAGGCGGAAUUCGUGGUGUAGCGGUGAAAUGCUUAGAUAUCACGAAGAACUCCGAUUGCGAAGGCAGCUUACUAAACUGCCACUGACAUUCCUUCUCGAAAGUGUGGGUAUCAAACAGGAUUAGAUACCCUUGUAGUC